UAGGGAAUCUUCGGCAAUGGACGAAAGUCUGACCGAGCAACGCUGCGUGAGUGAAGAAGGUUUUCGGAUCGUAAAACUCUGUUGUUAGAGAAGAACAAGGACGUUAGUAACUGAACGUCCCCUGACGGUAUCUAACCAGAAAGCCACGGCUAACUACGUGCCAGCAGCCGCGGUAAUACGUAGGUGGCAAGCGUUGUCCGGAUUUAUUGGGCGUAAAGCGAGCGCAGGCGGUUUCUUAAGUCUGAUGUGAAAGCCCCCGGCUCAACCGGGGAGGGUCAUUGGAAACUGGGAGACUUGAGUGCAGAAGAGGAGAGUGGAAUUCCAUGUGUAGCGGUGAAAUGCGUAGAUAUAUGGAGGAACACCAGUGGCGAAGGCGGCUCUCUGGUCUGUAACUGACGCUGAGGCUCGAAAGCGUGGGGAGCAAACAGG
Molecule: ribosomal RNA, 429 nt
Filed under: Gemmatimonadota bacterium
Lineage: Bacteria; Pseudomonadati; Gemmatimonadota
Description: Gemmatimonadetes bacterium partial 16S ribosomal RNA
Rfam family: Bacterial small subunit ribosomal RNA
Source: RNAcentral